CCUGUAACUGACGCUGAGGCGCGAAAGCGUGGGGAGCAAACAGGAUUAGAUACCCUGGUAGUCCACGCCGUAAACGAUGAGUGCUAGGUGUUGGGGGGUUCCACCCUCAGUGCUGAAGUUAACACAUUAAGCACUCCGCCUGGGGAGUACGACCGCAAGGUUGAAACUCAAAGGAAUUGACGGGGGCCCGCACAAGCAGUGGAGCAUGUGGUUUAAUUCGAAGCAACGCGAAGAACCUUACCAGGUCUUGACAUCCUUUGACCACUCUAGAGAUAGAGCUUUCCCCUUCGGGGGACAAAGUGACAGGUGGUGCAUGGUUGUCGUCAGCUCGUGUCGUGAGAUGUUGGGUUAAGUCCCGCAACGAGCGCAACCCUUGACCUUAGUUGCCAGCAUUCAGUUGGGCACUCUAAGGUGACUGCCGGUGACAAACCGGAGGAAGGUGGGGAUGACGUCAAAUCAUCAUGCCCCUUAUGACCUGGGCUACACACGUGCUACAAUGGAUGAUACAAAGGGUUGCGAAGCCGCGAGGCCAAGCCAAUCCCAAAAAGUCAUUCUCAGUUCGGAUUGUAGGCUGCAACUCGCCUACAUGAAGCCGGAAUUGCUAGUAAUCGCGGAUCAGCAUGCCGCGGUGAAUACGUUCCCGGGCCUUGUACACACCGCCCGUCACACCACGAGAGUUUGUAACACCCGAAGU
RNAcentral lists this ribosomal RNA (694 nucleotides) under Fictibacillus phosphorivorans. RNAcentral describes it as "bacterial SSU rRNA". It matches the Rfam family "Bacterial small subunit ribosomal RNA", at positions 733 to 1427 of the family's 1533-position model. The record is from RNAcentral. Lineage: Bacteria; Bacillati; Bacillota; Bacilli; Caryophanales; Fictibacillaceae.